UGGUGGGCACUGCAAAACUUGCUCGCUGACUGGCCUCGUCUUCAAGGAAGGAAGACAGUCUGGGAUGAAUCUUCGCUAGUGGCAGCGGUGGCCUUCUCUUCCUCUGCAUGUUUUAGUUUGGAAGCCUGGGAGCGUACGAGUGAGUUGCCUGAUGCACGACCCAAGGUUUGGAAGAAGAACAAGUCGUACUAGUUCCUGAAACCGAAAAUUGAAUGCUGGGGUUGUAUUGUACUGCAUGCCAACUAACUGCAUCUAGGACUGUUAAUUUGGACUUGUAA
Molecule: long non-coding RNA, 278 nt
Organism: Lolium rigidum
Lineage: Eukaryota; Viridiplantae; Streptophyta; Magnoliopsida; Poales; Poaceae
Exons: 3
Source: RefSeq, a predicted model, not a curated record